Jaculus jaculus (lesser Egyptian jerboa) is the source of this 1353-nucleotide long non-coding RNA. RefSeq lists it as uncharacterized. Lineage: Eukaryota; Metazoa; Chordata; Mammalia; Rodentia; Dipodidae. The record is from RefSeq and is a predicted model, not a curated record. The transcript is spliced from 2 exons.
CGGCUCGAAGGGUACGGUCAGGGACUCGCCACCGCCGCAGUAGGAGAGGCGCGAGGGCCCGCUGUCGGUGAUCAGCAGGUGCGUGAAAACCACGGGCCGGUCCUCACAGCGCAGGAAAUUCCGCUCUCUGCCACAAAGCGAAAGGAAAGGGAAGGAGGCCUCGUAGCGUCCACUGCGGUUGGGUCUCAGACGGGAGAAGAAAGUAGCCAGGAACUGCAGGUCUAGGGGAGCAAAAGGACGACUGUUCACCAACUUGGGAUUCCAAGGCCCCGGGAUCAUUCUCAGGCAGGCCCGUCUCCCUGGACCAUGAAUACUAGCAGAAGACCGCCAGCCCCCUAGUGCAGGCGAGCACUGCCUACAAAUUUGAGGGAUGCCCUGAAACGCGGAGGGCGGGCACAAGAAGACAGCUUGGCAAUACCUUUGAAGCAGGUGAUGAAGUUCUUCAUUUUGGAAUCAUCCAGGAAAAGCUGCAGGCAGAAGUGACAGACGAUGGAUAACAAGGCCUGAGCCCAGUGUGGUGUGCGAUGUUUUUGCUUCUGUGGACAAUCUGUACAGGGAGGCUCAUGGAAGUGUCUAGUCAGAUGUGGCACUUUCUGCACCGAGGCUACCAGGCCUACUCCAAAACAUUUCUAAAGCAGGGAAGACUUCCUGGGUCAUGAGAAUUCAGCCGGGGGUUGAUCCCAGCAGGGCAGGGCUGGGGGUGAUACCCAGUGAGUACAUGGUCCUGGCGUUCACACACCACGUAAGUUUCCCUUCUCCUUGGACCCGCGUCAGGCCCCUCUUCCACCAGACCUCAGGCCCUCUCUACACCAGCCCUCCUACCGCGCGCACCUCAGGACACCCCUGUCUCGCGCCCCGCCCACCUGGCCCUGGUGAUCCACGUAAUAGAAGUACUCGCGGGUCCGGGGCUCUGGGCUCUGGCCCUGCGUGUAAGGGACAGGCCCGUUCCCGCUGUAGGCCUGACCUCCGCGUGACCGCGCCAAGGCCUGGGCUAGGGCCCGGGCCCGGAGUGCACUGCACAGGGGCCACAUACUCCCACGCCGGAAGCAGAUCUCCCAGGCGUUGCUGAUCGAACCCACGUUCCUAGCAGAGCUCCGAGCUUUGGGUUCCGGUGGUGGAAGCCGGGACCCCGCGGCGCUCCCUGAGCUCCCUUGCCCCGGAAGCAGCCAAGCUGAGCCCUCCCCUUGCCGCGCGUCGGGAGGAACGGGAGGCGCAGGCAGCGCGAGUGUACACAUGAACUUUAUUCCCACGAAGCGCCGUCGCCUCGGUCCAUGCGCCAGAGGGCCUGUGUGACCCGACCGCCCGCGGGCCCCAGCCUUUGUUUUUAAUAAUAAAUAAAAACUCUAAAAAAUA